UACAGAGGGUGCAAGCGUUGUUCGGAAUUACUGGGCGUAAAGCGCGUGUAGGCGGUUUGGCAAGUCGGGCAUGAAAUCUCUGGGCUCAACCCGGAGAGGUUGUCCGAUACUGCUAAACUGGAGGGCAGUAGAGGGUGGUGGAAUUCCGGGUGUAGUGGUGAAAUGCGUAGAGAUCCGGAGGAACACCAGUGGCGAAAGCGGCCACCUGGACUGCACCUGACGCUGAAACGCGAAAGCUAGGGGAGCGAACGGG
RNAcentral lists this ribosomal RNA (253 nucleotides) under uncultured bacterium. RNAcentral's name for it is "partial 16S ribosomal RNA". It matches the Rfam family "Bacterial small subunit ribosomal RNA", at positions 524 to 776 of the family's 1533-position model. The record is from RNAcentral.